GGGCCCGCACAAGCGGUGGAGUAUGUGGUUUAAUUCGAUGCAACGCGAAGAACCUUACCAGGGUUUGACAUCCUGCGAAUCUCUUGGAAACGAGAGAGUGCCUUCGGGAACGCAGUGACAGGUGGUGCAUGGCUGUCGUCAGCUCGUGUCGUGAGAUGUUGGGUUAAGUCCCGCAACGAGCGCAACCCACGUCUUUAGUUGCCAGCAUUUAGUUGGGCACUCUAGAGAGACUGCCGGUGAUAAACCGGAGGAAGGUGUGGAUGACGUCAAGUCAUCAUGGCCCUUAUGGGCUGGGCUACACACGUGCUACAAUGGCAGUGACAGAGGGACGCUACCAGGUGACUGGAUGCAAAUCUCAAAAAGCUGUCUCAGUUCGGAUUGUUGUCUGCAACUCGACAACAUG
This 403-nucleotide ribosomal RNA is filed under the name uncultured bacterium. RNAcentral describes it as "bacterial SSU rRNA". It matches the Rfam family "Bacterial small subunit ribosomal RNA", at positions 917 to 1322 of the family's 1533-position model. The record is from RNAcentral.